AUGAGCCAGGAAGACCCCGAGGCCAAAGAGAAAUGGGCCCCUAAGCCUGAAGGAGAUCAGGCUUUGGGGGGGAUCCAAAAUCUGCAUGAGCUACCUUUCUGUUUCAGGUAUUGGCCCAUGGAGAAUCUCUGCACAAUAGACAGUGCCAUCAAAGGGAAGCUGGAGGGACUGUUGUUCUAUAAUCGUUGGCAAGAGGGGGCCACACGCAUUGACAGCCACAUUGAGGAUGAGCCCUUUGAGGACGAGGUCUUUGUGGGGACAUCAAGGGCACUGACAGCAUAUCUCCUUAAUAUGGCAUCGCCACGGACACACCAGAGAGCCUUUGGCGCCACAUUGUUGAUGACUGAGAUCAUGUUCCUCAGCAACGUCCUUGGGAGGAUAGUCCCAAGAGACAACCCCAGACAUCUGUGCCCUCUAGGGAGCUCUACGAGCCAGGGAAUGGCAGAGGAAGGAGACCUUGGUGAAGUGAUGAGUUCUUUGUCCAAGACAGGAUCCUGGGGCUACCAGACAGUGAGGAUGUUGGUGGGAGAACCACAGGGGAGCUUUGGAAUCAAGUCUUCUGGACCAAGCAGGAACCAAAGCUGAGGCCCAGGCAGGGACAGAGCCAUAGUACAGACCUCACCAAUCACGAGUACUGUGAAUUAUGUGAACUGUGCAGGGCAGGUUCUUUCUUGACGCUGCUUACUUUCCCUCUUGUGGAUGUCUACGGGUCGGGAGAUGUCUUGGGAGGGAGGCGGGGAAAAGGAAAGCCUCAAGGGUAAGUACUAGAAGUCUGGCAAGUUGCAUGAGUCCAUGGGACUGGACCUACGAGAGGGUGGUCGAGCCUGCAGCUGGAUUCUCUAACUCUCCUUGGAUGGGUGGGUGGGAGCAGAGCACCAUGUGGGACGGAAUGGAACUUUCAGUGGGUCUGUGAUCUCAUCAGUUUAGAGACUCACUCCGUUCACCAAGAUGGUGACCCAAUGGUACCAGUACUCUCAUGAGGCCAUAAAUCAGUGUGAUCUCAGGCAACCCACAAGGCAACCAAGAGAUGCAUGGCACCUGUAUGAAUGUGAGUGCCAGUGCUGAGAACAAGAUCUGGUGUGGCCCAAUGUCAAUAGGAUGGACUGUGUGUCUAAGGAAGAGACGCCCAUUAUUAGAAGCCUGACUGCUCAGCGAUGAGCUCCUUGGUCAUAAGUCCUAUGAAACCGGUUCUUUAACAAACUGCCUCUGUGGUCCCGAUGGAAAGUCAAACUCCCCUUGAGCUCCCUUGAAAGAUGUGUACUGCCCUUUCUUUCCUCCAUCCCCUGGGCACCUGCCUCUCCUUACUCCCCAAAACAAGUAAGUGCCAUGGGAUACAGGCCAAAACUUAUUGGGAAAAAGGCUCGCCACAGAAGACGGGAGGAAGGGGGAACUGAGCUCUUGGUGGGGCUGGGGUUUCCUAGAAGGCAGAGGGGAGGAGGCCAGUUUCCAGGUCAGCCUCCAAGUGGCUGGAGAGGGACAAGAAGGGAAGUGGUGGCAUCCUCCCUUUGUGAUCUAUAAUUAGCCUUUCCACCACCUGCGCAGGCCAUGAGCAUGACUCAAGGCUCUACUCUCCCCACCACCACCCCCCCAACAUACUUCAGGACCUGCUCUUGGAUUUUUUUCAAGAUCAGAGGAUUCCAGAGAAUUCAGAGCAGGAAGAAAAAUGAAAUGAGGAAACUGAGGCCUAGAAACGGGAAGAGCCCAAAGACCACACAUAGUAAGUAGCAGAGAUAGACUACGAACCCAGACGGUCCAAGGGCUAGUGUAGUGUAAACUUGGUUCGGACGAGCCUUUGGAUAGUAGCUCGCGGCCCUGGGGUUUCAAGCAGGCAACUGCAAUGAGGUAUGCCAGCCGAGUCAGAGAGAAGCUCCCAGUCCUACCAUUGAGGAGCCGUGGCUCCCGAACCAGGCCCGGCAAGCCUUGGGUGUCUCCAGAGCCAAGAGCAGUUGUAAAAUUCUUCACAUUCUCCAAAUCGAGUACGCUUGGAUUCCCAAGGCAGACCCAGAUGUCCCUUAUUUCGCACAAGCUGCCAAGAGCAGUUGUACAAUUCUUCACAUUCUUCAGAUCUGAAUCCCCAAGGCAGACCCAGAUGUCCCUUAUUUCACGCACAAAGCCAUGUGCCUGAGCCAUUAUGGGCUGUCUAAACUCUGGUGAAUCAGAUCCUGCCUCGGGGGCCCCUGCAAGAUUGCUACUGAGAAAUUCUCUGGCGGAUCUUUCGGGUCCACUCAAUGCGUUGGUUGCCUGGUGGGUAAAUAAAAUGCCUUUAGGAGAACUUCA
Molecule: long non-coding RNA, 2277 nt
Filed under: Monodelphis domestica (gray short-tailed opossum)
Lineage: Eukaryota; Metazoa; Chordata; Mammalia; Didelphimorphia; Didelphidae
Description: lncRNA (ENSMODG00000039398.1)
Source: RNAcentral